UACGUAGGGACCAAGCGUUGUUCGGAUUUACUGGGCGUAAAGGGCGCGUAGGCGGCUUGACAAGUCACUUGUGAAAUCUCCGGGCUUAACUCGGAACGGCCAAGUGAAACUGUCAUGCUAGAGUGCAGAAGGGGCAAUCGGAAUUCUUGGUGUAGCGGUGAAAUGCGUAAAUAUCAAGAGGAACACCUGAGGUGAAGACGGGUUGCUGGGCUGACACUGACGCUGAGGCGCGAAAGCCAGGGGAGCAAACGGG
Molecule: ribosomal RNA, 253 nt
Filed under: uncultured bacterium
Lineage: Bacteria
Description: partial 16S ribosomal RNA
Rfam family: Bacterial small subunit ribosomal RNA
Source: RNAcentral